Homo sapiens (human) is the source of this 2236-nucleotide long non-coding RNA. Ensembl annotates it as ALDH1L1 antisense RNA 2. Its record names the gene ALDH1L1-AS2. The record is from Ensembl. Lineage: Eukaryota; Metazoa; Chordata; Mammalia; Primates; Hominidae.
AGUUUCUGGCUGCGGCUGCACACCACCUGAAGGCUCAGCUGGGCCGGAUGUCCAAAAUGGCCGAGUCGCACAGUGAGCAGUGGAUUCUGACUGUCACCUGGAGCCUCAGUGGGGGCUCUUCACUGGAGCACUCACAUAUGGCAUCUCCACAUGGCUUGGGAUUCUCACAGCCUGACAGCUAAAUUCCAGGAGGGAACAUUAUCAAGAGAUCCAGGCAUCUUACAAGCCCAGCCUCAGAAGUCCUAGAAUGUUACUUCCAUCACAAUCCAUUGGUUAAGCAAGUCACUAAGCAGAACCUGAGAAACACGCUCAUCAAGUCCAGGAAAUAAAUAGAGAUACAAUGAUUUUGAUCUGCAGAAGUCUCAAGAGAAUAAACAGAAAAAUUCCUAAAAUUAGGCCCUGGAAAUGGGGGAUCUCCUGCCUUGACAGCUCAUCAGUACGUGUGAAAAGCCAACAAGAGUGGAUAUGAUAGGAACUGCAAUCACACAGCACUUUGGAGAAUGUGAAGAUUGGUGCUCACAGCAGAAGUUAACACACUGAUGCUGUGAUCACUGUUCAGUAGGUGGAAUGGUCCUUAGUGAUCCUUGAAGAGUAGCUGCAACUGGAAGACACAGAAUGGAGAGGGUGGAUCAUGCAAAUGAAAAGAUGGGCUCCAACAUUCAGCGGAAGGAAUUUAUGGUUGGUUCCCCCGUUUUUUUGUUGGCGGUGGUGGUUUAUUUUCAUUCCCCAUGCCCGGUCCUUCUGAUGGCACUCACUGAUUUGGCUCUAGGGCACAAGUCUAUGUUGCAUGCAGUCCUGGUGUAACAAUCAAUUGAGGCAUUUCCUGGGCGAGGAGCUGGGACACGGGCCAAGCCAAUCAGACUCUGGUUCCCCCAGGACGCUGAGUCAUAGUGGAGCCAUGCCAAGACGGAAACAGCUGACCUGCUGUGCUGCUGCCAUGGCUCCCUGAGGAGUGUCCCUCAGUUCCUAAGAGGGGACUGUCUGCACGCUGGCUCUUAUGGGUUGAUUUUGCACUUUUUCUUUGAUUCUGAGAGCUACCCACAUCCUCUCCAAUUCUUGCUCCAGUCAACCAGACACAGUUUCUAUUGCUUGCGGUGGAAGACAUGCCCAUGCAGAAGGCGUCAAGGCUCUUGGGAAGAUGGGGAGUGGCAUGUGUUCUCAUGGUGUUCACAGCUGCACAUGGGAAACACCUCAUUGCCUUCGCACAACAAACCCAAGAGGGAGGGGGUUCCUUCCCCAAUUCUGCAAAUGGAAAAACUGAGGCUCAGAGGGGAAAUUGAUCUCUCAGUGUCACAGCCAAUGAAUGACAGAGGGAAAGUUGUGGUCCAGGGCUGAGUCCGGGUUCCACAGUGUGUAGAUGAAUUUCUUCAACCCCUUCAUCAUGUGACAAGAGCCACAAGGUCUCCAGGCCUCCUGGACAUGACAGGUGUUUGCUCACAAACUGAAACUUUCUCUGCUGGGUCACACCCUCCUCGCCCAUCCCUACUCUUGGUGCAGGGCAUGAGCUGGACCCUGGAAGACCAAUGGGUAUUCAACUUUCAGAAAGCCUUGGCGAGGUCUAGUGAUGAAAUAAUUUUGUCAUUUGGAAUGCUGACAAAAAAAAUUUGAAUUUUUCGGCCAUAGUUUCAUUUCCAUAAAUCACUUCAUUCUUAUCCUAAUCCUUCCCCAACUGUUUGUCAAAAUUCCCAUCAAAUAUUUUUCCACUUGGAAGACUGAUUUUUAACACUCAUACCCCACCCCCACCAGGCCACGGUGUGGACAUUUUUCAUUCCUAAAGUCAGGAGGCCAGAGACAUUUCCAAGAGAGAUCAAAGCACUUGCUGGCCACGUUGGAAAAUGAGAAGGGAGGAUAAGGGUGUGAAGGGGCAUCCUGCCUCCAGGAGGGACCCCCUCCAAGUGAGUUAAGAGAUGUGGGCCAGGAGGGCUGAGCAGUAGCAUCCACUGGGAAGCCCUGGGCUCCAGGCCCAGCCCUGUAGCUGCCUCACUGGACAAGCCCUUCCAGCUGGCCUCGGAGGACAUGGACCAUCUUCCCGGGUUUGGCUGUGUAUCCCAGUAGCACCAUGGAGUAGCCAGGGCCCUUGGCCAGGCCACUAAACUACACCGUACCCCCCUUGUCAUCUGUUGCAUGCAGGCAUCAGAAUUUACCUUUAAAGAAGUGUUUCUCAAACUUGAGUCACUUAGUUUUCAUGGCAUAUUUAUACAAUAUAUGUGCGAUUAUUAAAAGUUUCCUUUAAAUC